UUCCCAUGAGGUGUUCGCAAAAUCGUAUAAACCUUUCGCCUUUUACUAAAGGUUUCCGUGUGAGUACCUCUGUGCAGUGGGAUAAUGAAUUUUUUGAAAUUCCUAUUGAGGGAUU
Molecule: non-coding RNA, 115 nt
Organism: Rhizophagus irregularis
Lineage: Eukaryota; Fungi; Glomeromycota; Glomeromycetes; Glomerales; Glomeraceae
Source: Rfam